Molecule: small nucleolar RNA, 104 nt
Filed under: Dasypus novemcinctus (nine-banded armadillo)
Lineage: Eukaryota; Metazoa; Chordata; Mammalia; Cingulata; Dasypodidae
Description: Small nucleolar RNA U13 (ENSDNOG00000042900.1)
Rfam family: Small nucleolar RNA U13
Source: RNAcentral
AUCCUUUUGCAGUUCAUAAGCAUGAUGAAUGGGUAUUCAUGCGCUUGUGUGAGAUGUGCCACCUUCAAACUUUGUUAGGACAUUGGCAUAUUACCCAUCUGGCA